CUGUACAUCAUUAACUAGACACCAAGUUAAGCUGAAGGGACAUACAGCAUGAUACAACUUGACAUCAGAGCAUCAGCUGUGACACACAGACUAAACUUUAUUCAUGUUUUCCCUGAAACGCAACUGACUAAAUUGGACUUCAGUGAAAUAAAUUCAGUGCUAGCAGUGCAGUCAUCACAGGCAUUUUGUUGGGGGGAUAAAAUGCAUAUGAUGGUGUUUCGCUCUCCUUUUGGACUAAAUACAGAUGGUGACACGUAGGAGAUGUCAAAGAUCAGCUUCAACACAAAGAACAACACACUCCUGACAAUUUUAUAACAAAUAUUAUCAUGGAUUUAAAGGAGCUUUGCAAUCUGUAGUAGCCUCUUUAGGUCUAGGGUUCAUCCAAGAGUUUGAGCAGUUUGAGCUCGCUUUUUCUUUCUCUUUCUCUUUAACAUGUACUUAUAUAUAACUGAGAAGCAACAGCAUGACUGCUUUCAAGAGCAGACGGACACAAAAGUUCUUAGAGAGAGAUUAGGAUGUCAGAUAGAUGCAGCAAGGAGGAGGAUAUUGACUGCAAGCUUUUAACCCUGCCUUCCAGUGUGGCCAUUUGGAACAGGUAUAAACACUUUUGCUUUUAGAUGUAGCUGGAAAACAAGUCGUUGUUUAAAGCAUACUGAGAGGGUUGGCAACUAAUGAUUAUUUUAAUUAAUUUCUCAAUCAAUCAAACACUUUAUAUGGUGAAUGUCAGAAAAUAAUGAAAAAUGUGCAUCAAAAUUUCAUUAAGCCCAUGUUGAGGUCUUCAAAUGACUUUUUCUGUCCAAAUAACAGAUUUAAACCCAGCGAUAUUAAAUUUACAACAUAGAAGACUAUGAAAAGCACGAAGUCCUCACAUUUGAGAAGCUGGAGCCAGAGAAGUUUUUGUACUUUUGUUUAAAAAACUGACCCAACCAUUAAUCAAUUAUCAAAACUGUUUUCUGUCAAUCGACAAAUUGAUUAAUCAACGAAUUGUUUCAUCUUUAAUACUGAAAAACUUACCAGUAGAAAAAAGCUGGCAGCUGUCACAGAGCCCUAGACCCUAAGGGGCCCCCAAAGCCCCACAUUAAUUGUGCAUCAAUUGUUUUGUGAGACUUUAUUGCAUAUUCCUCAAUAAAUUUGUGUUUUACCAAAUCACCACAAAGAGGGAUCCAUGAACUCUAUUACAUGACCCUUAGAUAUGUAACUCUAACAACAAGCAACCUCAAAAAAGAUAUCAGCAGAAUCACAACAGAACACAAAGCAAAUCAGUUUUCACCAAAGUGUAUUAUAUUAAAAUAUCCUCAAGUCCAACCUACAAUUCAAAUAGAACAAAAGUGUCCGUAUCUCAGUUCAAAAUGUGAAUGAAUCAGUUUCUCAAAAAAAAAAUCUCCUCUUCAGGAUCCCAACAACCAACUCUCAGUUUAAACUCAAAUGAAACUGUUGACCAACAAAAACAGAACUGAGUGAGCUCUCUGGCCUUUCCCUAGACCAGCUUUGCAAAAGCUCUAGAACACCAGGGUUACCUCCUAAAAUCCCGCCAGUGUCAGCAGGGGUUGGGGAGCUGAGUAAAGCUGGCGAAAAUUGAAAAAGCUAAUCUUUUCUACAGUUUUUUUUUUUUGAUACAAAUCGAGUUUACGUUGGUAUGUACUGCCUCCUGGAAAUGAUUCCUGCUGCCUGUGGACUUUGGAGAGACUUGCUGCUACGGUUUAGUGGUAAAGUUACACAACUCUUAAUGCCUAUUAGUGUUAAUACUUGUUUUGCAUUUUAUUGCAAUCAUUUUAUAAUCUUCAGGUCAUUUUUUAUUUCUGCAUGAUACAACAUACAUACAAGUUGGUAGCGUUUUGUUUAUUUACUGUAAAAAUGCACACAUAGCAUCAACACAAUUAUCAAAGUAACACAAACACUUAAUACUUAAAAUACUCGAUACAUUUAGAGGUUUACACCUGGUAAAUACCGACAAAAAAUAACAUCCAACCACUAGCGCUGAGCGGCGGUCUAGGCCUCUUCCUCCAGUGAAUGAAUGUGCACCAUGGUAGUCUGAAGUUGGCAUAGUUAUUGCUGAGUUGUCACGAGAACGUUAAGGUGUGCGCGCGUGUGCUUGUGUUUCACAAGGGCUUAAAGGUGCAGAUCGCCACAACAUCAUGUAUCUGGUUUGUUUAAUCUGUACAAAGUAGAAAUGUAAAAAUGACAAUUUAUGGUUUUAAGGGGGAGUUUAAUAGCUGGAACUAUGUCUUGUCAGGUUUGAGGUCGUUGAGACAUGUACAGAGACCAAAACCAAAACCUGUGCUCACUGACUGUAUCUGGCAACUUGUGCUGUAGCCUGAGACACUUCAGAAAGUACAGGGUGGAUGAAUAAACUGUUGUUCAUCAAGAAAAAGUUCCAGCAAGUAACUCCCCCUAAAGCCGCACCCUGCUGUUUUUACAUUUCUGUUUGUGUAUGAAGAAAAACCACAUGCGUUAAUGGAUGAACUUUGACAUUUGACUAGGUUUUUUUUUUUAACUUUAGACGGAGCCAGGCUAGCUGUUUCCCCCUUACAGUCUUGCUAGGCUGAGCUGACCACGACGGACUCCAGCUCUGUACUUAACACACAGACAGUGAGACUGAUUUCCAUCUUCUCUUCUCAUUCUUGGAAACAAAGAGAGAUGGACGGAGCAGUCUACUAUAUCCAACCAGCCUCAGCCUUGCAUAAACCUCCCAUAUACUCUGAUGGGAGAAUUGCCAUAUUAUUGCCAGAUUGGGGAUAGCUGCAUGGAAGGUGACUGGAUGACUGGAUGAAGCCUCCCACUGUCCACUACAAUGAUAGAAAGCUUGGCCCUACUUGCCUGCCCUGCAUUGAUGUUUUAAAUGGCCAGUUAGAUGAGAUCGUCAACUGAGGAGAGCACUUUGCUAAGCAAAGACAUAACUGGUGCAGAUACAAGACUGGAGAUAUAGCUCAACCACCAACCCACUGACCCACAGAAACACACUCUCACACAUAUCCAAGGAAUACCGCAGAGCCCAAGAGACCAAGCAGCUGGUUGUGUUCCAACUCUGAAUGGACAAGCGAUGGAUGGAGAGCAGGCUCAGCUGUCCAAUAAACUGAGACUGCAUUAGUCGUAUGUUGAUAAGGAGCCCUUGUGUUUGUUUGUAUAAUGACUGUUAUGUAAUGAUCUUUUUCUAACCUUAACAUCAUCCACUGUGUUAGCUCAGCUUUCCCCCAAAAUAUCACUAUUGGAUUGUCAGAUGGGAUGGGAAGUGUCGGUGAACUGCCAUCGUCAGGUCUCUCUACAGAUGCUCUAGGGGGUUUAAGUCUGGGCUUUGGCUGGGCACUCAAGGACAGUCAGAGUCUUGUCCUGAAGCCCCUCCGGUAUGGUCUUGGCUGUAUGCUUCAAGUCAUUGUUGUACUGUACCAUCGCCACAGUCUCAAGUUGCGUGCACUCUGGAGCAGGUUUUCUUCAAGAACCUCUGGGUUUGGCUACAUUCACCUUUUCCUCAAUUCCAACCAGUCUCCCUGUCCCUGCUGCUGAGAAAUACCACUAUAGCCUUAUGCUGUCUCAACCAUGCUUCACUGUAGGGAUGGUAUUAGCCAGGUAAUGAACAGUGACUGAUGUUUGCCGGAAAUGUUUGGAAUUCUGCCCAAAGAGUUGAACUUUGUAUCAGACCAGAGAAUCUUUUUGCUCAUGCUCUCAGAGUCCUUUGAAUGCCGUUUGGAAAACUCCAAGUGGGCUGUCAUAUGCCUUUACUCAAAGUGGCUUCCAUCUAGCUACUCUACCAUAAAAGCACGAUCGAUGAAGUUCUGCUGAGAUGGGGUUUUUGGUCACCUCUUUAUGCUCUUCUUGUUAGUUCUCUUCUUAGUUUGGCCAAAUGAAGUUCUGGUGGUUCAAAACAUCACAAUAAUUUUGCAAAUAUUGACGCCACUGUGCUCCUUGGAAACUCAAAGCUUGAUCUGUGCCUAGCCCCAAUGUUAUUGCAGAGGUUUACAGAGAGGGUUCCUUGGACUUCAUGGCUUGGUUUUUGUCCUAACAUGCAGUGUGAAUUGUGAUUACUGUGAUUAAACUAAUCUGACCAUCUUGAAAGAAAAAGAUAAUGUGUAGUUUGAGUUGGGCAUGGGUAGUUUUCAGUUGCCUCAACUUAGAGGAACAAAGAACUAAAUCUUAACCAUAGAGGUGACAGAAAACAGGAAAUAUAUGAGUAAUUUUUGUCGCACUUAUUUGUAACAAUUUUGGAAGGCACAUACAAACAACUACACCCUGGCAAUAAGAGCACCUAAUGAGAAAAAGGGCUCAUAUGGGUCAUUUCGGAAGGCAAUCAUAAAUGGCCAUUGUGGUCAUUUAGGUUGAAGAACUUUUUUAAAUUACUGAGAGUAAUAUAGUUGAGGCCAAUUUGUGGCUUCACCGCAACAGCGGGGCCAGCACUAUAAACGCAAAAUGUCCGCAACUGACUGACUGACUGACUGACUGACUGAGUAAGUGAGUGAGUGCUGAAUUUACACCAUCAGUUGGCUGGCCAAGUGUUGGUAUUUCCCCAUUGGCCAUUUCUCUUUCAAAAUGAACUGGUGAAAACAACUUCUAAUACGUCGGGUUUACAGGCAGUGUCACCGAUUUAGCACCUUGAUUUACUACGUUUAGCAAAUUUUCUUCACAAAAGCACUUAGCGACAGAUGGUUAGAUUUUUGGACAAACCUUAGCUACUUUAUGUAAAAUCAGUCGCCAGUAUUGUCAACGUAAUGUUGGGCUUUCCCUCUGCAGCCACACCUCUCUCUGGUCUCAUUCAAUUGACUUCAUGGCAGCUAACACAGACAUGAAUGAGCUUCUAACUUUCUCUCUGAGGUAUCAUUUUACAAGUAAAUAUAGCCUUAAUCAGUAGGGCUGUAGUCAACCAAAGAAAAUCUUGGUCAACUGAAAUCGUAACUACCCAUCAACCAAUUGAUUGGUUGCGGGGGAAAAAAUCUCUAGAUUAACUAAACUGUCCACAGUCCAUUGAGAGCAGUCUACCAGGUAGCCUUUAUUAGCCUAAAUGAUUUAUAAAUAAAUAUAAAAAGCAAGUAUUUGCAGUAUAUUAAAUCAUUUUAAACUAAUUAUUUUAUACUGCAAUGAUAAAAACAGAGCUGACCAGUGUACACCUGCCCAUAUUCAUAUGAUUUCCGAAAAUAGAACUAUAUCAACUGGUGAUCCAAGCACAAUAACUACUGAGGAAUAUGCACUCAAAGUCUCAAGCGUUAAACACGAAAGUGGACUGAGCAUCCUAACACAGACAAGUUAGCCUACCAUUUUUAGAUGAUAUGUUGUGUUGGUUGUUGAGCAGUGACAUGCAAAUGGACCGCAUUUCAGUCACUAUUUCAUACUUGUUCCAUCGUCUGACAACAUAAACAGAAAAACAUGUAAAUGAGAUCAGCUUUAUUCACAAUUCAGCUGUAUGAAAUUACUGUAUAUGUGAGCACAGAGAGUAGGGGAGAAACAAACAUAUAAUGGGUGGUCCAGCCAUAUACUAGGUUUUUACCUGGUCUUGUUUACCUGUUCACAGAUUUUGACUACUCACAGAUAUAGUGGUAUUCAUAUGUGUCAGCUAAUACAAAUCAAGGUUUCAUAGGUUCAUCUAUGUAUGGAAACAUUGUUAAUGUAAUAUAAAUUAAA
Long non-coding RNA from Xiphias gladius (swordfish), 5607 nucleotides. RefSeq lists it as uncharacterized. The transcript has 6 exons. Lineage: Eukaryota; Metazoa; Chordata; Actinopteri; Istiophoriformes; Xiphiidae. The record is from RefSeq and is a predicted model, not a curated record.